RNAcentral lists this ribosomal RNA (272 nucleotides) under uncultured Oscillibacter sp. Its description in RNAcentral is "partial 16S ribosomal RNA". It matches the Rfam family "Bacterial small subunit ribosomal RNA", at positions 75 to 339 of the family's 1533-position model. The record is from RNAcentral. Lineage: Bacteria; Bacillati; Bacillota; Clostridia; Eubacteriales; Oscillospiraceae.
AGUUUUCGGACGAUGGAAGUAGAGGAAAGUGGCGGACGGGUGAGUAACGCGUGAGGAACCUGCCUUGAAGAGGGGGACAACAGUUGGAAACGACUGCUAAUACCGCAUGAAGCAUAGGGGUCGCAUGAUUCUUAUGCCAAAGAUUUAUCGCUUCAAGAUGGCCUCGCGUCUGAUUAGCUAGUUGGUGAGGUAACGGCCCACCAAGGCGACGAUCAGUAGCCGGACUGAGAGGUUGAACGGCCACAUUGGGACUGAGAUACGGCCCAGACUCC